RNAcentral lists this ribosomal RNA (239 nucleotides) under uncultured Lactobacillus sp. RNAcentral's name for it is "partial 16S ribosomal RNA". It matches the Rfam family "Bacterial small subunit ribosomal RNA", at positions 125 to 355 of the family's 1533-position model. Lineage: Bacteria; Bacillati; Bacillota; Bacilli; Lactobacillales; Lactobacillaceae. The record is from RNAcentral.
CCGUAGCCCAAGAGAUCGGGAUAACACCUGAAAACAGAUGCUAAUACCGGAUAACAACAGAUGAUGCCUAUCAACUGUUUAAAAGAUGGUUCUGCUAUCACUCUUGGAUGGACCUGCGGUGCAUUAGCUAGUUGGUAGGGUAACGGCCUACCAAGGCGAUGAUGCAUAGCCGAGUUGAGAGACUGAUCGGCCACAUUGGGACUGAGACACGGCCCAAACUCCUACGGGAGGCAGCAGCC